Small nuclear RNA from Diorhabda carinulata, 120 nucleotides. RefSeq annotates it as U5 spliceosomal RNA. Lineage: Eukaryota; Metazoa; Arthropoda; Insecta; Coleoptera; Chrysomelidae. The record is from RefSeq and is a predicted model, not a curated record. The transcript has a single exon.
UUACUCUGAGAUCUCCUCAAAUCGUUUAAAUCUUUCGCCUUUUACUAAAGAUUUCCGUGGGGAGGUUUAACUAAAAUGAGUCUAAUAACAAUUUUUGUCAGCCUGAUUUACAAUCGGGCG